This 497-nucleotide ribosomal RNA is filed under the name uncultured bacterium. RNAcentral describes it as "partial 16S ribosomal RNA". It matches the Rfam family "Bacterial small subunit ribosomal RNA", at positions 28 to 507 of the family's 1533-position model. The record is from RNAcentral.
GAUGAACGCUGGCGGCGUGCCUAAUACAUGCAAGUCGAGCGAACAGACGAGGAGCUUGCUCCUCUGACGUUAGCGGCGGACGGGUGAGUAACACGUGGAUAACCUACCUAUAAGACUGGGAUAACUUCGGGAAACCGGAGCUAAUACCGGAUAAUAUAUUGAACCGCAUGGUUCAAUAGUGAAAGACGGUUUUGCUGUCACUUAUAGAUGUAUCCGCGCCUCAUUAGCUAGUUGGUAAGGUAACGGCUUACCAAGGCAACGAUGCGUAGCCGACCUGAGAGGGUGAUCGGCCACACUGGAACUGAGACACGGUCCAGACUCCUACGGGAGGAAGAAGUAGGGAAUCUUCCGCAAUGGGCGAAAGCCUGACGGAGCAACGCCGCGUGAGUGAUGAAGGUCUUCGGAUCGUAAAACUCUGUUAUUAGGGAAGAACAAAUGUGUAAGUAACUAUGCACGUCUUGACGGUACCUAAUCAGAAAGCCACGGCUAACUACGUG